UGUGUCUUUGGUGUUCCUCAGGGCAUCGUCAUCGGGACCGGAGAGAACUCUGAGUUUGGGGAGGUGUUCAAGAUGAUGCAGGCAGAAGAGGCUCCAAAGACGCCGCUCCAGAAGAGCAUGGACCUGCUGGGGAAGCAGCUCUCGCUCUAUUCCUUCGGCAUCAUAGGUGUCAUCAUGCUGGUGGGCUGGCUGCAGGGGAAGAGGAUCCUGGACAUGUUCACCAUCGGUGUCAGGU
This is a long non-coding RNA of Etheostoma cragini (Arkansas darter), 235 nucleotides long. RefSeq lists it as uncharacterized. The transcript is spliced from 3 exons. NCBI's taxonomy places the organism in Eukaryota, Metazoa, Chordata, Actinopteri, Perciformes, Percidae. The record is from RefSeq and is a predicted model, not a curated record.